AAAAUGAUAAUCAAUCAAAUGAAGCAGGCAUAUCAGGGGAUGGUGUACAAGCACAAGAGUCCUGCCUAGUGGUACAAAGUUCUACUGAAACUGAGAUAGUGGGUGAUGGUUUCCGCUGGAGAAAAUAUGGGCAGAAAGUUGUGAAGGGAAAUCCAUAUCCCAGAAGUUACUAUCGUUGCACGGGUCUAAAAUGCAAUGUCCGCAAGUAUGUGGAGAGAGUAUCGGAUGAUCCAGGAGCUUUUAUUACAACAUAUGAGGGGAAUGAGGGGAAACAUAACCAUGAGAUGCCUGUCAGGAGCACAAAUUCAGCAUCUGAACCCAAUUCACAGGCUCCUACCAGUAGAAGCAAGGCGUGAUCUCAUGAGUUGAAGGAGGCUAUUUGCAACUUGAUGUUUAUUCUGACCAUUAGAGUCUGAACAGAAAAGAAUUGAGAUGCUUCAGAAGCUAAAUAAUUGGGAGAAGCUGCAUUUCUACAUGUUUGUCCUGUGAAAUCCUGUGGCUAGCUCGCAGGCACUUCUUGGUGAAGACAGUUUUGUGUUUGGUAAUUCAGAUUAUUUUCCUUUCUUCCUUCGACCUAAUCUCUUAUUGCUGCCUGUGCUGUCUUUAGCUUUAUUAUUUAGGAAUACAAUUUUCUUUUUUUCCAAUUAUUUUUUUUUUUU
This 659-nucleotide unclassified non-coding RNA is filed under the name Hevea brasiliensis (rubber tree). Lineage: Eukaryota; Viridiplantae; Streptophyta; Magnoliopsida; Malpighiales; Euphorbiaceae. The record is from RNAcentral.